RNAcentral lists this long non-coding RNA (644 nucleotides) under Homo sapiens (human). RNAcentral describes it as "HSALNT0150120". The record is from RNAcentral. Lineage: Eukaryota; Metazoa; Chordata; Mammalia; Primates; Hominidae.
CUCCAUGUUGGUCAGGCUGGUCUCUAACUCCCGACCCCAGGUGAUCCGCCUGCCUCGGCCUCCCUCCCAAAGUGCUGGGAUUACAGGCGUGAGCCACCGAGCCUGGCCGGACACUUCGUUUUAAUUGGUAGUUUUGUUUGUUUAACUGGGUGAUGGGUACAUGGAUAUUCAUUAUAUUGUAUGGCACCAACAUUUAUAUUGCUAUGUUAGUUCUCACUUCACUUGGACAAAACUCUUGGGCAUGAACAGGUGUUUGGAAAACACUGCUCCAAAGCAAAGGAUUCAGGACUAGAGAAGACCCAAGUUCAAGCCUCAAUUCUACUUCUUACUAAUUGCUUAGCUUUAGGCAAUUGAAAUAAUUAACUUAUCUGGGCUUUAUUUAUUUCAUCUGUAAAAAUUCCACAAACAGUGAAGUGGCUCACACCUGUAAUCCUAGCACUUUGGGAGGCCAAGGCGGGUGGAUCACCUGAGGUCAGGAGUUGAAGACCAGCAUGGCCAACGUGGUGAAACCCCAUCUCUACUAAAAAUACAAAAAAUUAGCCGGGAGUGGUGGCGGGUGCCCGUAAUCCCAGCUACUCAGGAGGCUGAGGCAGAAGAAUCACUUGAACCCGGGAAGCAGAGGUUGCAGUGAGCCGAGAUCGCGC